Ribosomal RNA from Scophthalmus maximus (turbot), 109 nucleotides. NCBI's taxonomy places the organism in Eukaryota, Metazoa, Chordata, Actinopteri, Pleuronectiformes, Scophthalmidae. The record is from Ensembl.
GUUUACGGCCACACCGCCUGGUUCAUGCCCGAUCUCGGAAGCUAAGAUAGGUUGGGCCUGGUUAGUACUUGGAUGGGAGACCGCCUGGGAAUACCAGGUGCUGUAAGCU